GCGGCUUUAGCUCAGUUGGGAGAGCGUCAGACUGAAGACAUUCAGUCGGAAUUCGGCACACUGUGCUAAUCUGAAGGUCACCCGUUCGAUCCGGGUAAGCCGCA
This is a non-coding RNA of Trichodelitschia bisporula, 104 nucleotides long. The record is from the annotation of a GenBank genome assembly. NCBI's taxonomy places the organism in Eukaryota, Fungi, Ascomycota, Dothideomycetes, Phaeotrichales, Phaeotrichaceae.